AACCGGAUUAGAUACCCUGGUAGUCCACGCCCUAAACGAUGUCAACUAGUUGUUGGGUCUUCAUUGACUUAGUAACGUAGCUAACGCGUGAAGUUGACCGCCUGGGGAGUACGGUCGCAAGAUUAAAACUCAAAGGAAUUGACGGGGACCCGCACAAGCGGUGGAUGAUGUGGAUUAAUUCGAUGCGACGCGAAAAACCUUACCUACCCUUGACAUGGUCGGAACCUGGCUGAAAGGCUGGGGUGCUCGAAAGAGAACCGAUACACAGGUGCUGCAUGGCUGUCGUCAGCUCGUAUCGUGAGAUGUUGGGUUAAGUCCCGCAACGAGCGCAACCCUUGUCCUUAGUUGCUACGCAAGAGCACUCUAAGGAGACUGCCGGUGACAAACCGGAGGAAGGUGGGGAUGACGUCAAGUCCUCAUGGCCCUUAUGGGUAGGGCUUCACACGUCAUACAAUGGUCGGAACAGAGGGCUGCCAACCCGUGAGGGGGAGCUAAUCCCAGAAAACCGAUCGUAGUCCGGAUCGUAGUCUGCAACUCGACUACGUGAAGCUGGAAUCGCUAGUAAUCGCGGAUCAGCAUGCCGCGGUGAAUACGUUCCCGGGUCUUGUACACACCGCCCGUCACACCAUGGGAGUGGGCUUUACCAGAAGUGGCUAGUCUAACCGCAAGGAGGACGGUCACCACGGUAGGAUUCAUGACUGGGGUGAAGUCGUAACAAGGUAACCGUA
This 728-nucleotide ribosomal RNA is filed under the name uncultured endophytic bacterium. RNAcentral's name for it is "bacterial SSU rRNA". It matches the Rfam family "Bacterial small subunit ribosomal RNA", at positions 771 to 1504 of the family's 1533-position model. The record is from RNAcentral.